GCAGAUUCCGCUAUCGAGUGUUGC
Molecule: non-coding RNA, 24 nt
Filed under: Arabidopsis thaliana (thale cress)
Lineage: Eukaryota; Viridiplantae; Streptophyta; Magnoliopsida; Brassicales; Brassicaceae
Source: RNAcentral